CCCUUAGAUGUUCUGGGCCGCACGCGCGCUACACUGAUGAAUUCAACAAGUCUUAACCUUGGCCGAUAGGUCUGGGUAAUCUUUGAACGCUGUUCGUGAUUGGGAUAGACCUUUGCAAUUAUGGGUCUUCAACGAGGAAUUCCUAGUAAACGCAAGUCAUCAGCUUGCAUUGAUUACGUCCCUGCCCUUUGUACACACCGCCCGUCGCACCUACCGAUUGAAUGGUCCGGUGAAAUCUCGGGACGGCGGCUUGGUCGCUUGCGUCCGACUGCUGAAACUUGAUUAAACCAUAUCAUUUAGAGGAAGGUGAAGUCGUAACA
This 320-nucleotide ribosomal RNA is filed under the name uncultured eukaryote. RNAcentral describes it as "partial 18S ribosomal RNA". It matches the Rfam family "Eukaryotic small subunit ribosomal RNA", at positions 1470 to 1796 of the family's 1831-position model. The record is from RNAcentral.